This 207-nucleotide microRNA precursor is filed under the name Oryza barthii. Its description in RNAcentral is "MIR812 microRNA precursor family". It matches the Rfam family "MIR812 microRNA precursor family". The record is from Rfam by way of RNAcentral. Lineage: Eukaryota; Viridiplantae; Streptophyta; Magnoliopsida; Poales; Poaceae.
AAAAAGACAAACUCUAGGCUUCCGUGUCCAACAUUUGACCGUCCGUCUUAUUUGAAAAAAUUAUGAAAAAAAUUAAAAAGACAAGUCACGCAAAAAGUAUUAAUCAUGUUUUAUCAUCUAACAACAAUGAAAAUACUAAUUAUAAAAAAAUUUCAUAUAAGACGGACAGUCAAACGUUGGACACGGAAACCCAGAGUUUAUCUUUUU